Molecule: long non-coding RNA, 540 nt
Filed under: Homo sapiens (human)
Lineage: Eukaryota; Metazoa; Chordata; Mammalia; Primates; Hominidae
Description: non-protein coding lnc-NUTM1-1:1
Source: RNAcentral
CGGAGGCAGCGUGCAGGGCUGGCGCUCACGCAGGCCGCCAGCACCCUGCGCUCCACCCCACCCUGCUCCCUAAUGAGAAGAGAGGAGCUGAACCCAGACAGCCGCUCCCUGUUGACGCCUUAGGCGUUUCAAAACUAGACUGGCCGGAGCCGAUGGAAUGUCUUGGACCAUCCAUUUCUCUAAGACUCAAUGAUAUGUCCUAGAAGAUCUUUGGCCAAAUGUCAGACUUAUAUCUUACAGAUCCCAGAGUAGGGAGUAAGUACUACAGCUUCUAAAAUGCUCUCACUCACAUGCUUCAUCAAUGCAAAUGACAGUUCGAAAGACCAAGAGCUUUUGGAUUCUACUUGGACUUCUUUUGAAAGGAGACUUGGGCUCAUCCUGCUGGCCUCUGCCCUCUGCUAACCUCCCAGGACUCCUGACUGGGCCUAUGCUGGAUACCAACCAUACAAGAUGAAUGUCUUGCCAAGCUGGAUGUGGAAGUAUAUUUGGUCCUUUGAAGGUUAAUGAUCAAUCCAGACCACAAAUGGAUGACAGUCAAAC